AGUGAACGCUGGCGGCAGGCCUAAUACAUGCAAGUCGAACGGCAGCACAGCAGAGCUUGCUCUGUGGGUGGCGAGUGGCGGACGGGUGAGGAAUACGUGGGAAUCUGCCCAGUCGUGGGGGAUAACGUAGGGAAACUUACGCUAAUACCGCAUGCGCCCUUCGGGGAAAGCCGGGGACCUUCGGGCCUGGCGCGAUUGGAUGAGCCCACGUCGGAUUAGCUAGUUGGCGGGGUAAAGGCCCACCAAGGCGACGAUCCGUAGCUGGUCUGAGAGGAUGAUCAGCCACACUGGAACUGAGACACGGUCCAGACUCCUACGGGAGGCAGCAGUAGGGAAUAUUGGACAAUGGGCGCAAGCCUGAUCCAGCCAUGCCGCGUGAGUGAAGAAGGCCCUCGGGUUGUAAAGCUCUUUUGUCCGGAAAGAAAAGCGCCGGGUUAAUACCCUGGUGUCCUGACGGUACCGGAAGAUAAGCACCGGCUAACUUCGUGCCAGCAGCCGCGGUAAU
This 505-nucleotide ribosomal RNA is filed under the name uncultured bacterium. Its description in RNAcentral is "bacterial SSU rRNA". It matches the Rfam family "Bacterial small subunit ribosomal RNA", at positions 29 to 524 of the family's 1533-position model. The record is from RNAcentral.